This 253-nucleotide ribosomal RNA is filed under the name uncultured bacterium. RNAcentral describes it as "partial 16S ribosomal RNA". It matches the Rfam family "Bacterial small subunit ribosomal RNA", at positions 524 to 776 of the family's 1533-position model. The record is from RNAcentral.
UACAGAGGGUGCAAGCGUUGUUCGGAAUUACUGGGCGUAAAGCGCGUGUAGGCGGCGGCAUAAGUCGAAUGUGAAAGCCCUUGGCUUAACCAAGGAAGUGCAUUCGAUACUGUGUCGCUUGAGUACCGGAGGGGAUGGCGGAAUUCCUGGUGUAGAGGUGAAAUUCGUAGAUAUCAGGAGGAACACCUGUGGCGAAGGCGGCCAUCUGGACGGUGACUGACGCUGAGGAGCGAAAGCGUGGGGAGCGAACAGG